This 497-nucleotide ribosomal RNA is filed under the name uncultured bacterium. RNAcentral's name for it is "partial 16S ribosomal RNA". It matches the Rfam family "Bacterial small subunit ribosomal RNA", at positions 28 to 507 of the family's 1533-position model. The record is from RNAcentral.
GAUGAACGCUGGCGGCGUGCCUAAUACAUGCAAGUCGAGCGAACAGACGAGGAGCUUGCUCCUCUGACGUUAGCGGCGGACGGGUGAGUAACACGUGGAUAACCUACCUAUAAGACUGGGAUAACUUCGGGAAACCGGAGCUAAUACCGGAUAAUAUAUUGAACCGCAUGGUUCAAUAGUGAAAGACGGUUUUGCUGUCACUUAUAGAUGGAUCCGCGCCGCAUUAGCUAGUUGGUAAGGUAACGGCUUACCAAGGCGACGAUGCGUAGCCGACCUGAGAGGGUGAUAGGCCACACUGGAACUGAGACACGGUCCAGACUCCUACGGGAGGCAGCAGUAGGGAAUCUUCCGCAAUGGGCGAAAGCCUGACGGAGCAACGCCGCGUGAGUGAUGAAGGUCUUCGGAUCGUAAAACUCUGUUAUUAGGGAAGAACAAAUGUGUAAGUAACUAUGCAAGUCUUGACGGUACCUAAUCAGAAAGCCACGGAUAACUACGUG